This 1143-nucleotide long non-coding RNA is filed under the name Papio anubis (olive baboon). RNAcentral's name for it is "lncRNA (ENSPANG00000038458.1)". The record is from RNAcentral. Lineage: Eukaryota; Metazoa; Chordata; Mammalia; Primates; Cercopithecidae.
AUGAGUAUAGCCCACGAGGCAGCCCCCCUCUUCCCACUCCGGUCACCCUCUGCUCUUGAGGCCCCCAGCUCUGCUCCAUCUGUGUCUGUGGUGUACCUGCUGCCCGCCCUGUCCCCUCUCGGCCCUGAGGUGUCAGCUGUCCCUCUGCUGGGCUCUCCGUGUCCUGCAUCUUCUGACCUUGGGAGGCUUGUGUGUGAGCCCAGGGGGUGGGUGUCCUCAGGAGCAGGGGGGUGCCUGGGGACACCUCACGUCCCAGGAUCAUGCUGCCAGCCACAGGGUCGGGCCAGCCAUGGAAGGACACAGGGCAGUGACUGUUCAUGGCCAUCUUUAUUCCCAGUGCUGGCUAUCCCAAGAUACUGCCAGGCUACGGCCAGCCCCAUCUCUGCCAAUGUGACUGGAUCACCACCCCAUACCCCAGAGCAGCCUCGAGCCCUGCCCCACCCCUGCCCUGCGGAAGCCAAGUCCCCAGCUAUAAGCCCCUGCCCCUCCUGGUGGCCCAGGACUCUCAAAGGUGCACACAGGGGUCCUAGCGAGGGGCCCCUCGGUCAUCAGCCUUCUCCUCCAGGCUGGGCCGCCCAGCAGCCUGGAGCUGAGUCUGUCCCUCGGACGCUGGGCCACGUCACCUUCUCCUCCUCCAGGAGGCUUCACCUAUGGGCCCAGGAAGUCCUCCUUCCGAUAGCCCUUCUACAGUGGAGAGAGGCCCAAGGUCAGGGUACAUGUCUGCGCGUGCAGCCCUCUGCCCUCUGUCCCUCCUGCAGUGUGCGGGGUGUGGCCCGGACCCUUCCCCUCUGGGUCCCUGGUCUCCAUUCUCCCAUUGGCCUCUUCACUGUCUGCUUCACGUGGGUUUCUGUGACCCUCCCCCGGCAUCCCACGCCCUGCACCCGGGUCCCUGCUCGCUCUGGGCUCCGGAGACGUACCGCCCGGAAGUCACGGUGGAGCUUGCUGUACUGCCACAGGUUGGCCAGGAGGCUGGACGUUGCCCGGGAGGACUUCUCACUGUCGGGGCUGAGGGUUGAGGGGAGUCAGGAGGGGACACACAGCCAGGAAGCAGGGUGGGCUGGGAGGACCCCUGGCCAGGCUGCUGAAUGCCCUGGCCGGGGCCCUUACCUGUCCCUGCUUCUCUUGAUGAAGAUGAGCUUCUGA